This 442-nucleotide ribosomal RNA is filed under the name uncultured prokaryote. RNAcentral describes it as "bacterial SSU rRNA". It matches the Rfam family "Bacterial small subunit ribosomal RNA", at positions 338 to 774 of the family's 1533-position model. The record is from RNAcentral.
CCUAGGGGGGGCAGCAGUGGGGAAUCAUGGUCAAUGGGCGAAAGCCUGAACCUGCGACGCCGCGUGAGUGAUGAAGGUCGUAAGAUCGUAAAACUCUUUUCAGGGAUCUUAAAGCCUGUCUGUCAACAACAGGCAGGUCUGACUCUCCCUGGAAGAAGCCCCAGCCAACUACGUGCCAGCAGCUGCGGUAAUACGUAAGGGGCGAGCGUUAUUCGGAAUUACUGGGUGUAAAGGGUAUGUAGGCGGCCCUUCAAGUCGGGUGUCAAAGUCCAGUGCUCAACGCUGGGUGUGCGCGCGAUACUGACGGGCUUGAGGGCUGGAGAGGUGAGCGGAAUUCCCGGUGUAGUGGUAAAAUACGUAGAGAUCGGGAGGAACACCAGCGGCGCAGGCGGCUCACUAGACAGUUUCUGACGCUAAGAUACGAAAGCGUGGGGAGCAAACA